GGAGCCUCCAAGACUGAACUAGCUCUGUGAGGCUCCUCCAAAUCCUCCCAGAGACUAGCCAGCCUACCCUGCCAGGGUUGCCGAUGAGCACCCCGAAGCCUGCAGUCCCUCUUGCCUCUGACCGUCUUUCACUCCCCUCCGGCUCUCUCUACCUCUCCAGGGCCAGGCUUUGGAGAUGAUGAUCUUAGGCCCACCCAAGACAAGAAGCCCUGAGGCUGCUAGAGAGAGGAGAGGGCUCUGAGCUGUGCACCUGGCCCUGAGGGACCCAGGCAUCCCCGGUCCCUGGGAGCUCCCAGAUACAUGUACACCCAGGGAAGAACGAGUGACACACAUUAAGGGCUCAGCCACAAAGGUAAAAAGCCUGUGAGAGCAUCCAGUCCAUCCCGGACAUUCUCAGAAAUACAAGCAAGGAACACAGCAUGGAGCCCAGCACCAGGAGAAUCUUGGAAUUUUGCCCCUCUCUUACUGCUGUGUCUAAACUUUUGUAGGUAUGAAACACAUUUAGAAAGCUUUUUAAAUGUCAUUUUAUGAUAAUUUUAGCAAAGGUUUCGGUUGCUACUAAUUUCAAUUGAUUUUCCUCAUUACAGGUCCUACUUCCUGCUUCUUUGUGUGAUUGGGAGUCUUUGAUUGACAGAAAUUAUGAAUUUUACCUCUUGGUUGUCAGAUAUCUUUUAUUCUAUAAAUAAAAUAUCUUUGGAACUUUGUUCUGGGAUGUACA
This 718-nucleotide long non-coding RNA is filed under the name Chinchilla lanigera (long-tailed chinchilla). Its description in RNAcentral is "lncRNA (ENSCLAG00000023139.1)". The record is from RNAcentral. Lineage: Eukaryota; Metazoa; Chordata; Mammalia; Rodentia; Chinchillidae.